AUUGAACGCUGGCGGCAGGCUUAACACAUGCAAGUCGAACGAGUGGCGGACGGGUGAGUAAUGCUUGGGAAUCUAGCUUAUGGAGGGGGAUAACUACGGGAAACUGUAGCUAAUACCGCGUACCAUAGGAUGAGCCCACGUGGGAUUAGGUAGUUGGUGAGGUAAAGGCUCACCAAGCCGACGAUCCCUAGCUGGUCUGAGCGGAUGACCGGCCACACGGGGACUGAGACACGGCCCAGACUCCUACGGGAGGCAGCAGUGGGGAAUCUUCCACAAUGGACGAAAGUCUGACGGAGCAACGCCGCGUGGGUGAUGACGGCCUUCGGGUUGUAAAGCACUUUUGGCAGGGAAGCGGUACCUGCAGAAUAAGCACCGGCUAACUACGUGCCAGCCGCCGCGGUAAUUC
Molecule: ribosomal RNA, 406 nt
Filed under: uncultured bacterium
Lineage: Bacteria
Description: partial 16S ribosomal RNA
Rfam family: Bacterial small subunit ribosomal RNA
Source: RNAcentral